RNAcentral lists this ribosomal RNA (301 nucleotides) under uncultured bacterium. RNAcentral's name for it is "partial 16S ribosomal RNA". It matches the Rfam family "Bacterial small subunit ribosomal RNA", at positions 509 to 807 of the family's 1533-position model. The record is from RNAcentral.
CAGCCGCCGCGGGAAUACGGAGGGGGCUAGCGUUGUUCGGAAUUACUGGGCGUAAAGCGCACGUAGGCUGCUCGAUAAAUUAGAAGUGAAAGCCUUGGGCUUAACCUGAGAAUUGCUUUUAAGACUGUCGAGCUAGAAUCCAGAAGAGGGUAGUGGAAUUCCGAGUGUAGAGGUGAAAUUCGUAGAUAUUCGGAAGAACACCAGUGGCGAAGGCGGCUCACUGGACGACUGUUGACGCUGAGGUGCGAAAGCGUGGGGAGCAAACAGGAUUAGAUACCCGCGUAGUCCCUGUCUCUUAUAC